CCUACGGUGUGCUGCAGUGAGGAAUAUUGGUCAAUGGGCGCGAGCCUGAACCAGCCAAGUAGCGUGAAGGAUGACUGCCCUACGGGUUGUAAACUUCUUUUAUAAAGGACUAAAGUGAGGCACGUGUGCCUUUUUGUCUUUACUUUAUGAAUAAGGAUCGGCUAACUCCGUUCCAGCAGCCGCGGUAAUACGGAGGAUCCGAGCGUUAUCCGGAUUUAUUGUGUUUAAAGGGAGCGUAGAUGGGUGGUUAAGUCAGUUGUGAAAGUUUGCGGCUCAACCGUAAAAUUGCAAUUGAUACUGGCAGUCUUGAGUACAGUUGAGGUAGGCGGAAUUCGUGGUGUAGCGGUGAAAUGCUUAGAUAUCACGAAGAACUCCGAUUGCGAAGGCAGCUUACUAAACUGCCACUGACAUUGAUGCUCGAAAGUGUGGGUAUCAAACAGGAUUAGAUACCCUUGUAGUC
RNAcentral lists this ribosomal RNA (460 nucleotides) under uncultured bacterium. RNAcentral describes it as "partial 16S ribosomal RNA". It matches the Rfam family "Bacterial small subunit ribosomal RNA", at positions 338 to 795 of the family's 1533-position model. The record is from RNAcentral.